Molecule: ribosomal RNA, 497 nt
Filed under: uncultured bacterium
Lineage: Bacteria
Description: partial 16S ribosomal RNA
Rfam family: Bacterial small subunit ribosomal RNA
Source: RNAcentral
GAUGAACGCUGGCGGCGUGCCUAAUACAUGCAAGUCGAGCGAACAGAUAAGGAGCUUGCUCCUUUGACGUUAGCGGCGGACGGGUGAGUAACACGUGGGUAACCUACCUAUAAGACUGGAAUAACUCCGGGAAACCGGGGCUAAUGCCGGAUAACAUUUAGAACCGCAUGGUUCUAAAGUGAAAGAUGGUUUUGCUAUCACUUAUAGAUGGACCCGCGCCGCAUUAGCUAGUUGGUAAGGUAACGGCUUACCAAGGCAACGAUACGUAGCCGACCUGAGAGGGUGAUCGGCCACACUGGAACUGAGACACGGUCCAGACUCCUACGGGAGGCAGCAGUAGGGAAUCUUCCGCAAUGGGCGAAAGCCUGACGGAGCAACGCCGCGUGAGUGAUGAAGGUCUUCGGAUCGUAAAACUCUGUUAUUAGGGAAGAACAAAUGUGUAAGUAACUGUGCACGUCUUGACGGUACCUAAUCAGAAAGCCACGGCUAACUACGUG